AUCCUGCUCGGUACAAGAGGGAACCACAGGUUCAGACAUCUGGUGUCUGUGCUUGGCUGAAGAGCUAGUGGUACAAAGCCCCCGUCUGGGGGAUGACUGAAUGUAUCAAAAUCCUAGUCCU
This 121-nucleotide non-coding RNA is filed under the name Lepisosteus oculatus (spotted gar). Its description in RNAcentral is "Eukaryotic large subunit ribosomal RNA". It matches the Rfam family "Eukaryotic large subunit ribosomal RNA", at positions 3022 to 3144 of the family's 3401-position model. Lineage: Eukaryota; Metazoa; Chordata; Actinopteri; Semionotiformes; Lepisosteidae. The record is from Rfam by way of RNAcentral.